RNAcentral lists this ribosomal RNA (406 nucleotides) under uncultured bacterium. Its description in RNAcentral is "partial 16S ribosomal RNA". It matches the Rfam family "Bacterial small subunit ribosomal RNA", at positions 29 to 526 of the family's 1533-position model. The record is from RNAcentral.
AUUGAACGCUGGCGGCAAGCCUAACACAUGCAAGUCGAACGAGUGGCGGACGGGUGAGUAAUGUCUGGGAAACUGCCUGAUGGAGGGGGAUAACUACUGGAAACGGUAGCUAAUACCGCAUACCAUCGGAUGUGCCCAGAUGGGAGUAGCUAGUAGGUGGGGUAAAGGCUCACCAAGGCGACGAUCCCUAGCUGGUCUGAGAGGAUGACCAGCCAAACAGAAACUGAGACACGGGCCAGACGCCUACGGGAGGCAGAAGUGGGGAAUAUUGCACAAUGGGCGCAAGCCUGAUGCAGCCAUGCGGCGUGUAUGAAGAAGGCCUUCGGGUUGUAAAGUACUUUCAGCGGGGAGGCGUUACCCGCAGAAGAAGCACCGGCUAACUCCGUGCCAGCCGCCGCGGUAAUAC